This 336-nucleotide unclassified non-coding RNA is filed under the name soil metagenome. RNAcentral's name for it is "partial contains 5.8S ribosomal RNA, internal transcribed spacer 2, and large subunit ribosomal RNA". The stretch from base 1 to 120 matches the Rfam family "5.8S ribosomal RNA", at positions 35 to 154 of the family's 154-position model. The record is from RNAcentral.
GAUGAAGAACGUAGCGAAAUGCGAUAAGUGAUGUGAAUUGCAGAAUUCAGUGAAUCAUCGAAUCUUUGAACGCACAUUGCGCCCGCCAGUAUUCUGGCGGGCAUGCCUGUUCGAGCGUCAUUUCAACCAUCAAGCCCCCGGCUUGUGUUGGGGACCUGCGGCUGCCGCAGGCCCUUAAAAGCAGUGGCGGGCUCGCUGUCACACCGAGCGUAGUAGCAUACAUCUCGCUCUGGGCGUGCUGCGGGUUCCGGCCGUUAAACCACCUUCAUAACCCAAGGUUGACCUCGGAUCAGGUAGGAAGACCCGCUGAACUUAAGCAUAUCAAUAAGCGGAGGA